RNAcentral lists this long non-coding RNA (6079 nucleotides) under Sus scrofa (pig). RNAcentral's name for it is "lncRNA (ENSSSCG00040045770.1)". Lineage: Eukaryota; Metazoa; Chordata; Mammalia; Artiodactyla; Suidae. The record is from RNAcentral.
AGUCAUUGUCCUUUGCUGUUUCUGUCAUCCCACCUCUCCUCUAUCGUUAAUUCCUUUUAAUUUUCUCUAAGAAAACCUCUUGAAUGGUAUCCCUCACCCCUGGGUGUCAUCACCUCUUGGCUUUUUGCCAUUAAUCUCUUCCAGAUGUGGUUCAGCAUCCUCAUCACCACCAGAUCUGUACUGCUAACAUUUUUUUUUUUUCCCUAAUGCAGAGAAAAUGGAAAGGAAAGAGUGAGUCUGAUCAUGUUGCAUUCUUGCUCCAACAGCAUCCUGGUCCCCACUUUCCUGGAGCAGCUUGCAGCAUGCCCAUGUGUGUUCCACAGGACCCUUCACUGGAAGGGUUGUCAGUAGUUCUGCAAAAAUGAUGUUCAGGUUAAACUGGUUUUACUUCCAUAUUUCUCAGCCUGUUAUGUCAAAUGUAUAUUAUGAAGCUCUGAAAGGACAUAAUUCAAAGCAGUAUUUUCUAAGCUGACUUGUUCACAGCACUCUUUUGUUAUUGUUCUCAUUUUGUUUUUUGUUUUUGCAAAGCAACUCAUGGAAUUAGUAUUCUGAGAAACAUAUGCUGGAAAACCCUAACCUGGAAGGUAAAAUAAUCUAGCUACUUGGACCUUCAGUGUCUUACCUCCCCUGCCACUCUGGCUCUCACCUCAGGACACGGAGCCACUACUUUAUUCACUCAGAACCUGACUCUGACCCCGUGCUUUCAUGCUUCCAUGCUUUUACAGUGAACUGCUACCUACCAGAAAUCUGCUGCAUCCACUCACCCCUGCCCCAUCAGGCACCCAUCACUAAACUUCUGUCAUCUCUGUAAAACCUCUACCCCUUGUAGAAUGAGCUACUCUCUCUUUACUUCAUAGCACAUCUUGUCCCUCCAUCAAUCAUCCAUCCCUGUAUCCAUCCAUCCAUUCAUCCAUCCAUCCAUGUAUCUGUCAACCCAUCUAUCCAUCCCUGUAUCCAUCCAUCCAUUCAUUCAUCCAUCAAUUGAUUCACAUAUCUGCCUUUUUUUAGUCUGUGAGCUGCCAGUCAGGCUGGCACCCAGUCUUACUCAUAUUUAUAUCCUGGUCACAAAGUACAUUGCUUAAUGCAGGUGCUUUACAAAUUAAUGUCCAAUUAAUUAAAAAAAAAACUUUAAGAAAAUCACAUAGUGUUUUGUUUUUAUCUCCAUAGAGGACUUCUGGUGUCUUGUAAGCAAACAUUAUUCCAGGCUGGAGAUUUAGAAAAUAACAUACUUUGUACCUUACAUCUUGUCAGCAUUUUGGCUGGACAUUAAGUUCUUCAACACCAGAGAAUACAUGUUUAAAAGCUGCGGGGUAGCACAGGAUUAAAAGCGCCCGUGUAAAAUCUUCCUUCGGGAUGGCAGGCAAUUGGUGGGGAAGCAUCCACCCUCUAAGAGUAAAUAGGAAUUGAAUUCUAUAAUUUCAUUAAGGAUAGGGAUCUAGUUUUUUUAAAUGCUGACUACAAAAGAGUUCUUCAAAAAAGAGUAAGUGCCUGUUGUCUGGUAUAAGCAAAAGUCCAGGUAACAUUGCUUAUCCCAGCUAACGCCGGGAAUCAAUGAAAAUGCAGUGAGCCCUCCCUUGUCUUGGGUACCCAGCUCCAUCUCAGAACAGCUUGACUGGGAGAAUCUGUGGAGGAUCUCAGCGAACAUUAGCUCCGAGUAUCCCUGUCUGUUGGUGGGAGGGUUGCCGUGAAAGCAAAACCAAAGGCUGAGCUAUUUCAGUUCACUGCGGCAGACGCCUGUUCGUAGAGCUCUUCAUUGUGCUGGAUCCAAGUUCUCUUGGGCUUUCCCUUCCAAGUGGGGAAUUCACGCAGAGGUGCUGGCUAAAGUGUCCCACAUCCCAUUCUUUUAGGUUUAAUGGUUUGACAUGAAUCACCGUGCAGGAUCAAGCUCUCAGAAGAGAAUUCAGCCUUUGCAACAAUGUUGAAAUAGAUGAACAAACAGAAUGAGAGGGGUCAGAGGGACCCUCCUCUCAGGAGAGCUAACCGGGAAGGUAGAGCUGGACCCCACCACCCUCAUCAUCAGCACCACAACUUAUUUAGUAAGGUCCUCUCAUGUCUUAAUGCUUAUUUAUGGUAUAAUGUCAGCUUCCAAAAUUGCAGUUCAGAAAGAAAACUCGAUUGCUCUUUUUUUUUUUUAAAUUGAAGUAUAGUUGAUUUACAAUGUUUUGUUAAUUUCUGCUGUAUAGCAAAGUGAUUCAGUUAUGCAUACACACAUUCUUUUUGGAAAUUCUUUUCUGUUAUGGUUUAUCACAGGAUAUUAAAUUUAGUUGUCUCUGCUUACAGCAGGUCCUUGUUGCUUAUCCAUUAUAUAUAUGGAGAGAGAUAUAUAUAUACAUAUAAUGUACAUAUACAUAUAUAUUAUAUACACAUACGUAUAUAUUAUACAUACACAUAUACAUAUACAUUAUAUUAUAUACAUUAUAUAUGUAUUAUAUGUAANNNNNNNNNNNNNNNNNNNNNNNNNNNNNNNNNNNNNNNNNNNNNNCUGUUUCAUAGAUAGGUUCAUUUGUGUCAUAUUUUAGAUUCCACAUAUAAGUGAUAUCAUGUGGUAUUUGUUUUUCUCUUUUCAACAUAGUAUGAUAAUCUGUAAGUCCAUCUAUUUUGCUGCAGAUGGCAUUCUUUUUUAUGGCUGAGUAGUAUUCCCCCCCACACAUAUACACACACCAUCUUCUUUAUCCAUUUUUCUGUUGAUGGACAUUUAGGUUGUUUCCAUGUCUUGGCUGUUGUGAAUAGUGCUGCUGUGAACAUAGGGGUUCGAAUUAUAGUUUCAUUUGGAUAUAUGCCCAGGAGUGGGAUUGCUUGAUCAUAUGGCAAAUCUAUUUUUAGUUUUUUGAGGAACCUCUAUACUGUUCUCCACAGUAGCUCCAUCAGCUUACACCUCUACCCACCAUGUAGGAAAAUUCCACUGUUCUGUAAAGUACCAUUCAAACAUUAUGGAACUGCAUAUUGGUAUUUUGUCAAUAGUGUGUUUAAAAUGUAAUUUUAAGUACUUUCACUCUUGGAAAGAUCUAGGUCAACUUGGUUAGGCAUUAUCUUGCAGUUUCUACCUUUCUCUUAGCUUACUGACGUCUGUAGCUGUCUCUAAGGAUUAUUUUUCCUUAGGCAAAAUAGCAUAAUAACACACCAUUGAAAAAAAUAUGCUUAGAACCCCAUUUUGCUGAAAAUGACGUGUUUUGACCUGCUUCUUUGCUUUAAAUUAUAGCAAUGAUGAAAUACACAGUAGAAAUUUGUUUAACACCCACACCUUUUUUUUGGGGGGGGGGGCAAUCAGUUUAAUGUAUUAGACAGGAAGCUGUCCUAGAGCAUUUAAGCAUAAACAUGUGGCCAGUCUCAAAAAGUAAAACUUGAGACUUGAUAAAGAUUGUUAAUCAAGACACUGCUGGAACCGUAUCAGGAAGUUUGGGGUCCCUGGAUGAACUGGGUUAUGUGAAGAGGUCCUGGCUAAAACUGGUGAGUAGGUCAUUGAGAAUCAGCACACUUAGCACACGCCUUGAUGGUCCUUUUAAUUUAAUUUUUUUCCUUCUUGUGGAAGUACCAUGUAUCUACGGAAAAGUGAUUCUAAAUAUAUAGCUUGAAGACAUUUUACAAAUUGAACACAUCUCUGUACCUAUCACCCAGAUUAAGAAAUAGGGCAUUACCAGACCCCUAGAGGUUCUCUGAUGCCCCCUUCCAGGACUGACCCCACCCUCACGCAUGACCAGUCUUCUGACUUCCAACAGCAAAAAGACUAUUGCCCAUGUUCAUACUUCAUAUCAUUUGCUCCUUUUGUUUGUGAGAUUCAUUCACAUUGUGUGCACUGUAGGUUGUGGAGUGGCAUUCCAUUAAUUUGUCCUUACCUACCUGUUUUUAUUAUAAUUUUAUCAUUUCAUUAAUUUUAUUUCUCUGAUUUAACUGCACGCCAAUUUACCUUUAAAAAGGUCAAAUGCUAUUCCUUUCACUGCAUCUGCCAUGCAAUCUUUUAAAAUGUGGAUAAAUGAGGCAGCAAUAAAUUGAGCCAGUUUUACGAGUAGAGGAAACUGGUAGCACAUUUGCAUUAUUUGAAAGAGGUCACGUCCGUGGCAGUCCAUUCCAAUUCUGAACGUGUAAAAAGAAAGUGAAUUUGGGAGAGUGCCAAGAUCAAUUUAGUUGCAAGAUAAUGACAGAAAUGUAUUUAAGGUUUGAACAUUGGCAUGUGCUUUCUCAUUGGAUGAUUUUUUGGGCCACGCCCACACCGGGCCAGGGAUCGAACCCCUGCUAUAGCAGUGACAAUGCUGGCUCCUUAACCAGCUGAGCCACCAGGGAACUCCCGGAUGAUAUGUUUAAGAGACUUUUUCAAAGCAGAAAAGGUAAAUUUGGUUUCGUUACCCAGAACAAAAUUUCCAAUAUAUAAAUACCUCACAUCUGUGUAUUUGUUUUGCCGCAGACAGAACCAGCAAGAGUUUAGUGAUGAAAUCUGUUCUUAAUUAUGAGAGCAGCUGUUGGAGUGGUAGCCAUUUUUUUUCCUCCUGAUGUGAAGUUGCCUGGUUUACUCAUUUUUGCCUGCAUUUUUCAGGGUUGCUAGUGCAGAAAAGAGCCCCUUUGUGAGAGGUUGCAAUUUGUUUUCUGUCUGAGAGCCAGGGCAAAUGGACUAAAUCUGCACAGCAGGGUGGUUUUAUCUGUCUUCCUCGUGCCCCACAAGCUGUCCUUACCUCUGCUCAGCACCAGAGACCUAUAAAACCACCCAACAAAUGAGGGGCCUGUUAAGUGUUCUGGCAAGACUCUCCGGCAGCAAGCAGUUCAUGUGAAUUAACUAGGUCCUCCUGAUGAGGCGGGGUGGUGGAGCUGGAUGGUACAGAGCUGGAACAGAUGGUAGUAACAUACUAGUUUGUUUUGAGGUCUGUAGAUUUAUUAACAUACCUUUCCCCAUUUCCAUUCGGUUGUUUUUACACCCAAAGGGCUAUCGCACAGUUCUCAUCAGGUAGCUUACCAAAAACAAAGCAAAAACACGCUUAGAUUAUCCUGCAGGUUAUUUCUAAGCCAUCAUAAUUCUCAGUCCAGGCCUUCACAGAAGGGGCCAGUGUUUAAUUUUUCUAGGUAUCUCAUAGCAUCCUGAAGUAAAGACUUUGGAUGAAACUGGAUAUGGCAGCUGAGUGAAGAGCGUCUGGAUUUAAAAGCUUGGUACCUCCCCUUUGUAUACAGAAAUCAGUGAAUUGUUUAUUGAAAGGAAUGAACCCCCCAUAUGAGUCUUAGCUGCAGUGUGCUUUUGUUCGCUCUCCAUAUCAUUUCAACUCUUGCCACAGUUCCCCAACACAGGAAACCUGACAUUUUAAAAAAUAAAGGUCAUUUAUACCAUGUCAUAAAAUUAAAAAAUAAAAGGCAGUUGCAAAAAUGCAAAGGCCGAGUUACAUCUUGACAAACUGGGAGGAAAACCCUUUCAUAAUUUGGAUUAUUUUAUGUAGAAGUGGAAAGAGCUUUUCUUUCUCAUGCCUGAAAACCAGCAUUUUAUAAGCUUUGUGAAGUGGAUUUCUUCUGAAAUUAGUGAAAUUAAAACUAAGGUUUAGAUGAUUUUUUUUUUUUUUUUUUUUUUUUUUUUUCCUGCUCAGCUGGCACUUUCUGGAGCCGUGGAGUGUAACUAUUGCAAAAACCUUCAGAGUUCUCAGUACUCUUAAACCUUCUGAAAACUGCUUGCCUGGCAGCAUUAUUCCCUUUCUGAUUUUAAUUAAACACAAACCAGUGUAGAACAAUUAUCUGAGUAAUUCAGUCCAUUAAAGCCUCUUUAAACAAAGAAUUGAAGGAGAAGUGAAUUUUUCUCACCUAAGUGGUCCAGAUAAUUAUGGUUUUGCCUUCUGGCCCUUCUGAGGUCAACUGGAUAAAAAGGUCCCAGUCCUGGUUAUCUUCAGCCUCUUCCUGCAGGUAGCCAACUGUGCCAGAUCCUUGAAGGUCAAAACAUUUUGAAGUUCUCUGGUGGCACAGUGGGUCAAGGAUCCAGAGCUGUCACUGCAGCGGCUUGGGUCUCUGCUGUGGCGCGGGUUUGAUCCCUGGCCUGGUAACUUCUGCAUGCCCUGGUUACAGCCACCUUUUGGUUUAACAAAAACCAAAUAAAACAAUCAAAAAAAAAAAAAAA